CGGUUGAGCGAAUUUACCAUU
RNAcentral lists this small nuclear RNA (21 nucleotides) under Arabidopsis thaliana (thale cress). RNAcentral describes it as "snRNA_03836". The record is from RNAcentral. Lineage: Eukaryota; Viridiplantae; Streptophyta; Magnoliopsida; Brassicales; Brassicaceae.